Molecule: long non-coding RNA, 758 nt
Filed under: Elaeis guineensis (African oil palm)
Lineage: Eukaryota; Viridiplantae; Streptophyta; Magnoliopsida; Arecales; Arecaceae
Description: long non-coding RNA (EGUI_LNC029423)
Source: RNAcentral
CUUGGCAUCGAUAUCCAUAGACUGGAGGAGCUUAAUGAGGACCCCUUGAGUGAGGGAUGCCAUGACAAGAGAUGGAGGGAGAGGGGUAGGGGGCAUGGUCAAUAAUACUGAGAGAAGGGACUUACUCGACGGGGCUCUUGAUCGGGCUAAACUUCGGAUUCAGGCUUAGACCAGAUCCAGGCCGGCCCAAAGGUAUAUCUGAGUCCAGUACGAAAAAUAAACGAACUUUAUAAUUAGGCCCAAUCCCAGCCUGAACUAUUUCGGGCCUAGCCUGAAGUUAGGCUGGUUCGAACCCAAUUCCAGUCCUAAUACCAGCAAUGAGGUUUAUUUUAGCAUCCUAAUGGAGGAUGCGACGAAAAAUAUCAGCAACUAGGAUAAAAUGAAAUAGAGAUAAAUGAUUAUUGUUGGGAGAAUUUUUGCACAAGCUGAUUAUAUGAAAAGAUCCAGGGCCCAAGAUGUCCAUGCUUGGCGGGCCCGUCAAUUGAAGCCUUCAUCAGUUCAAGGUCAGCUAUAAUUCCUACUGAGCUUGUCCUCUAUGACUACCUAUUCGGUGCUUUACAUUCUGAGCAGAUGAAAGCCUGUCGGCUUGUUCAUCACCGCCGAUGUCUCCUCAUCGACCGACCAUUUUCGACUGACCACCUAUGCAUCGUUAAGCAGAUUUGGUGGCAGUACAAAGUGAUCGACUCUUGAUUGUUGCCGAUUCAUCCUCAUCCCUAUAACAAUCAAUUAGCCACUCGAUUCAAAAUAUGAUGCCAGCC